GAUGAAGAGAUUUCGAAGCACGGCAAAGAUAAACAAUUGAUACUGAAUGUGAAAAGUGCCUACAGGGUCACAUCCUUCAUCAGUUAAGAAGAGGAACGCAGCAACAGGUAAAACAAGGGUCAAAACUAUGUGUUUGUAGAUUCUGCUGAUAUUAUUUUAAAAAAAUAUGUGCUUGUGUGAAGUUUACAAAGCUGCAUCCUUCAGUAAAUAUGUACACACUGUUCCAAAUGUGCUCCCUUUUCAGCUCCUUAUCUGGUUACACAUGUCCAUCAUCAGCCUCCCAGGAGUCUCUCCAAGCCGCUGCCACGACAUCACACGCCUGUCAGUGUUUACAAUGACCGGAACUGGUGCAGAGAGGUGCGGGGAAACGAUGCCCGGGCGCGUAAAGAGGGAGCGGGAGGGAGUGAGCGCAAAAAAAAAAAAAAAAAAAAA
Molecule: long non-coding RNA, 432 nt
Organism: Austrofundulus limnaeus
Lineage: Eukaryota; Metazoa; Chordata; Actinopteri; Cyprinodontiformes; Rivulidae
Exons: 2
Source: RefSeq, a predicted model, not a curated record